UGCUAAUGUCCCUUUUCAGUUUCAGUGCC
RNAcentral lists this non-coding RNA (29 nucleotides) under Mus musculus (house mouse). The record is from RNAcentral. Lineage: Eukaryota; Metazoa; Chordata; Mammalia; Rodentia; Muridae.